GCUUACCGUUGUUUCAAUUUUCUCUUGUGAUUGUGAAGACGCACCCCUCCCGUGCUCUCCAUCCCCCCCAUUAUAUUGUGGAUGCUUGCUUCGCCGACAACCAUGGUGUUUAUUGUUUAUCUAAAAUAAAAAGGAUAAAAUAAAAUACCAGAACUUGCAAAAGACAGCAGAUCGUAUAACAACGGAUCUUUGAAGGUGCAACCAUUUUUUGUUCAUCGUACGUUAAGGGUGGCUUAUGAAAUCUAUUGUUCGAGUAUCAAUUGCCGGUCAAUUAUUAUAGCUAUAAAUAAUUUUUUUGCGGGUUUCGAUGGUGAUCCAGACAAUGUAAUUCAAUCGACGCUCUUGCAUGUAUAAGUGACGUUUAGAAAAACAUACCUACACGGGCCAAGAGCGGCAAUAAAUUAAUAGCUAGAAGUAUACAAGGGAGAUAUAAUAUAUGUAGC
Molecule: unclassified non-coding RNA, 443 nt
Filed under: Athalia rosae (coleseed sawfly)
Lineage: Eukaryota; Metazoa; Arthropoda; Insecta; Hymenoptera; Athaliidae
Description: misc RNA ENSAEAG00005012229.1
Source: RNAcentral